RNAcentral lists this ribosomal RNA (39 nucleotides) under Tomentella sublilacina. RNAcentral's name for it is "partial 18S ribosomal RNA". Lineage: Eukaryota; Fungi; Basidiomycota; Agaricomycetes; Thelephorales; Thelephoraceae. The record is from RNAcentral.
CCCGGUCUUCUUCGUAGGUGAGCCUGCGGAGGAUCAUUA